AAGUAGGCCUGAGUCAGUGAAGAGCUUUGGAGGGCGGGACUGAAUGGGGGUUAAUCAGAGGAUGCGAUUGCUGACCAUUUGCACUUUGGCAUGGCCCAUCCCCUAAUUUCUGACCAGAAGCCCUCCCUGUACCCUAAGCUCGUGCGUCACGACGCCGCCAGCUGAUCGGAGCCUGGAGCCGGUGUGUGCUGGGCGCGGAGAAGAGACAGCGCCGCCGGCCGUGGGGAGAGGACGCAGUGAUUUGCUCCCCUCUGCGCAGCAACCCCCACAGCCAGCACCAGGCCCCCAGAACUCUCCUUCCAGCUGAACUCCCUGGGAACAAGUCAUUUGGGCUGAUGACUGAACUCAUAUUUCUGGACCUGAGGAGCCUGUUCCUCUCACACCCUCACCUGGCUGAGCCGCAGUAGUUCUUCAGUGGCAAGCUUUAUGUCCUGACCCAGCUAAAGCUGCCAGUUGAAGAACUGUUGCCCUCUGCCCCUGGCUUCGAGGAGGAGGAGGAGCUGCUUUCCCCGUCAUCUGGAAGGUGACAGAAACGGGCUGGGAAUGUCCGAACAGCAGGGUUGAUGAUACGUUUUGGGAAAGCUGGAUAGCCUUUGCCCAGAUUGGCCCAGCAAGGAGCCGUUUUAGAUUAGAGACACUGGCUGAAUUGAGGAGUAGAAGGCUCAAACAACCCAAGGUUAGUUGGUCUUUGUGUGACAGUGGGAAGAAGUGGAGAGAACACUCUGUCUCCCCACUUCCUUCUUGACCCUCCUUCCGUAUCUCUCAUUCUUCCCCACUGGCCGCCUUUCUCGAUGAGGUCCAAAAGUAAGCUCACUCUUCAAGGAAAAGUGACACUAAAACCCGGGUGUGAGGAGUCAUCCUUCUGCUCUUAUUUUUCCCCGCAUUUCCUUAGGCUGGCCCAGACUCUCGAUUGCUGGCCACUUACCUGUGUCUGAGACCCUUAGACCUCCUGCCUCAGUUUCUCCACCUGUGAGAUGGGCAGCCAGACAGAUGAGUGUACAUGAGGGAGUCAGAAGCCCACUUAGUCGACUCAGAACCUGGGCUCUCCCGCUGCUGUGGGUGGGAACACAACACCUUUUCACAUAAGCUGUUGUCCCUCCCCCAUCCCUGACUCCAUCAUCCAGGAGCUGGGCGGGGUAAUGGGAAGCUGGAGGAGGGGGUUAGAGUUAGACCAAUGCAAGGAGCUAGUAAGAGCUCGCCUCUCCACGAUGUCCCCCCAUGCAAGGGUGGCCCAAGGCCUCCCCUGACAUCCAAAGCAGGACAGCAGCCCCUUGGUGGGAUUCUAACUGCCGCUGCCCUGUUUCUUUCCUCACUUUGCUUUCCAAGGUGGUAUGUGAUCCCCAGCUCAGGCCUGGGCAGACAGGAAAUUCUCCCCUGCAGCAAGCAGGGGAGGUGGGUUGUGGGAUGUGACCUCCUUCUGGAUGUCAGGCAGUAUAAACCUGCCCCCUCCAGCCCUGAUCCAUUCUCACCCAGCGGCUACAGGAAGCUGUCUUUUCGAUUUGGUGGGAGGAGAUGUGCAGGGAGCUGUAUCUUAUCCUCUGCUUGUGAAAAACUCAAGGAUGUGGAGAAGAGUAGACUGUGGAACCCUGCCUUUCUGCAGCCAAGCUGAGUGGGACAGUGGUAGAGAGGUGGGGAUAGAUGCAUAGGCUGCAACAAAGGUCACUCUGUUCCUGGACACUGCCUCCGUCCUUUCUUCUUCUUGCUUCACUGGCCACAGCGUCUCCCUCCAGCCCUCACAUGUGCCUCUGCCAUCUUCAUCCAUCAUGGAGCAGAGGUGAGGAAAGGGAGCCUGGGAAUGCGGAGACCAGUGAAGGACCAGGCCUGGAGAGCACAGGGUCCUACCUGGGCAUCCAACAGAGGAGCCCGUAAAGGCCAGGAGCACCCCGAAAGGAGGGAGGACAGCCAGCCUCCAUCGACGGCAAGCCUCCAGCCCUCUCCUCUGAUCACCAUUUCUCUCCAGGCUUUCUGCCUCCAAGAUGUGGCACCAUAGUGCAAUGCCCUGUGGCUUCACCGCCCUACUUCCACCUCCGCCCAGCCUGUAAUGUUUACGUAAGCAGCCUCAAGGACCAAGAGCCAUCUGCGAAAGGACAUACACAGGAAAUUCAUAAAAGAAAUCGGAAUGGAUAAAACCAUGAGAAAAAUGUAUGCUUCAUUAGUAAUUAAAGAAAGGCAAAUAGAGCCGAAAGCAUUUUUCCCUUAGCAAACCAUAACAGAAAAAAAUAAGACCCAAUAUUGGCAAAGAGACUACUGAAAUGACAUUGCCAUACAUUGCGCGUGGGAGUAUACAUCGUAUACAUCGGUGCAGGCUUCCUGGAUGGCAGUUGGGUAAUAUGUGUCAUGUAGCCUAAAAGCUCCACGUCCUUUGACCUAUGAAUUCUAUCUUUGGGAAUUUAUCCUGAGAAAAUAAUUAAGGAUUCAGUUAGUGAUAAGAUGUUCAUCCCAGCUUUGCAAUGGAGAAAAAUGGGAAGCAAUGGUUUGGUUGGGAAUUCAUUCCUUUUCUGCUGUAAUGAAAGUUUGCAGUAGGGGAUUUUGCUUAAGGAAAUUAUUGUAUCUCCAUCCAGAUGGUGGGGUACUGCACAGACAUUAAAAGUCAUGUAAAAGAACAUCUGACUGAAAGAAAAAUACUCCUUGAAUAUUAAAAGGUUGUAAAAAUAGUGCAUGUUAUGUGUUCUCAAUUUUGUCUUUUAAAGUAUGGGUGUAUACUUGUAUACAUAGAGCAGAUAAAAAAGACGGAAGGCAUGCUAAAAAAUGUUUAGUGGUUAUCUUUGGAUGGUGGAACAAAGUCACUGAAAUUUUCAUCUUUAGUUUUUCUGUAAUUUCCAAAUUUUCUACAUUAAUUGUGUAUUACUUUCCUAUAAUAAAUAUAAUUUAAGA
This is a long non-coding RNA of Rhinopithecus roxellana (golden snub-nosed monkey), 2874 nucleotides long. RefSeq lists it as uncharacterized. The transcript has 4 exons. Lineage: Eukaryota; Metazoa; Chordata; Mammalia; Primates; Cercopithecidae. The record is from RefSeq and is a predicted model, not a curated record.